AGAGUUUGAUCCUGGCUCAGGACGAACGCUGGCGGCGUGCCUAAUACAUGCAAGUCGAACGCACUGACGGAGAACUUGUUCUCUUGACGUGAGUGGCGCACGGGUGAGUAACACGUGGGAAACCUACCCUUCAGCGGGGGAUAACCAUCGGAAACGAUGACUAAUACCGCAUAGACGACAGAACCGCCUGGUUCAAUCGGGAAAGACGGCUUCGGCUGUCACUGAAGGAUGGUCCCGCGCUGCAUUAGCUAGUUGGUAAGGUAACGGCUUACCAAGGCGAUGAUGCAUAGCCGACCUGAGAGGGUGAUCGGCCACAUUGGGACUGAGACACGGCCCAAACUCCUACGGGAGGCAGCAGUAGGGAAUCUUCCGCAAUGGACGCAAGUCUGACGGAGCAACGCCGCGUGUGUGAAGAAGGUUUUCGGAUCGUAAAGCACUGUUAUUAGAGAAGAACAGCCGAUAGAGUAACUGUUAUCGGUUUGACGGUAUCUAACCAGAAAGUGACGGCUAACUACGUGCCAGCAGCCGCGGUAAUACGUAGGUCACAAGCGUUGUCCGGAUUUAUUGGGCGUAAAGGGAGCGCAGGCGGUCCGUUAAGUCUGAUGUGAAAGCCCACGGCUCAACCGUGGAACGGCAUUGGAAACUGGCAAACUUGAGUAUAGAAGAGGAAAGUGGAAUUCCAUGUGUAGCGGUGAAAUGCGUAGAUAUAUGGAGGAACACCAGUGGCGAAAGCGACUUUCUGGUCUAUAACUGACGCUGAGCUCGAAAGCGUGGGGAGCGAACAGGAUUAGAUACCCUGGUAGUCCACGCCGUAAACGAUGAGUGUUAAGUGUUGGGGGGCUUCCACCC
RNAcentral lists this ribosomal RNA (849 nucleotides) under uncultured Facklamia sp. RNAcentral's name for it is "bacterial SSU rRNA". It matches the Rfam family "Bacterial small subunit ribosomal RNA", at positions 8 to 838 of the family's 1533-position model. The record is from RNAcentral. Lineage: Bacteria; Bacillati; Bacillota; Bacilli; Lactobacillales; Aerococcaceae.